Long non-coding RNA from Hipposideros armiger (great roundleaf bat), 8160 nucleotides. RefSeq lists it as uncharacterized. Lineage: Eukaryota; Metazoa; Chordata; Mammalia; Chiroptera; Hipposideridae. The transcript is spliced from 2 exons. The record is from RefSeq and is a predicted model, not a curated record.
GAGAGAGAGAGAGAGAGAGAGAGAGAGAGAAGCUCAGAGGGAGGGAGGCGGGGAGGGAGACCAAACCCCCGCUCUACUGCGUUGAAAGCUUCUGAAUUUCAAGCAGAAAGUAGAAGGAGCCCCACACGGCAGUGAGCGUCUUUCCUUGGGCUGCGUGUGCAGAGCUUAGACAAUGAAAAUCUCCAUCCCCCUCCCCCAUCCCCGCUAGGCGACAAGAUUUCUGUUUUCGUUCUCAACGGUGGAAGAUGUGCAAAAUCAAAUAUAUAGAGAUGUGUACAUAUUUUUUAAACUAACAAGCCAAAUGGGCUGAGACGCGGAUUAUCCAAACGCGCACUGGCUGGGCGUGUUCUGGGUCUCAGCGCUAGACCGGCACUAGGCGCUCUCUCCAGCCGCAGCCGGGCUCUACGCCUCCCGGUGGACGCGGUGGCGGAGGAUCCCCCCUUCCUCGGACGCUGGAGCAGGAGAGGGCCUUUCCCUCCGGCCGACUGCGCUGUAGGGGACACUGCGAAAAGAGCCGCUGCGGCCGCCGCCUCCCGCCCGCUGCGCAGAGGGCUCCGCCUGUAGAGGUCAACUCCCCUCACCCCUUCCUCUCUCCUACUCGCCCUCCCUCCGCCCGGCCCGGGUUCCGCCAGCCUCCUGCCUCUGGCCGCAGUCUGAGGAGUGCGCGUCCGCUGCGCUGCUCCGAACCGUAACCCCAAGCCGGGCCCAGCCCGGAGGUCCGUGCUCCCCGGCAGUGGCGAAGCCUUAGCGAUCAGCCUUUUCUCUCUGCAGCAAAGCUGUAGCCAGACCAGAUGGGCCGCCCGGCUCUCUCGGGACUAGGCAGGUGCGGUUGAGUUCAUUUUUCCGCAUUACAAAGAAAGAUGACCCAGCCCGCCCUUGGACUCUCCUCUCUUCCCUAAAUCUCCCAACCAAAACCGCGGUAACCUUAUCAGAGGGCACAGAGAUCAGACAUCUCUGCGUGUUUAUCUUACACACACGUAUGAUUGAUUACCUUACCCUGUAUGUGCUAGGUCCGAUCCCCACAGCAGGAAAUGAGUGGCAAAGCUUUCUGCAUCAGAACUCGCCAUGGCGCGGCCCUUAAAACCUGCCAUUCCUGACAAGUCACUUAGAAAGAGAUGCCGGGCGCACCAACCUGGUUUUUUUUGCCUUCAGUAAAGUAACACGAUUACGAAAUUAGAUCUGUACCAGUGUAAUUAACCUCGAUCCCCGCCAUCAUUUGAAAACUAGGUUUAUAGGCGUAUGUAUGUUUUUAGGUGUGCUGUAAAUGGCCUGCAGAUAGAUGCAUAUGUAUAUGCAGACAUGCCUCGUCUACGCUUCCGUCGAACGGCCUAAUUAGUGGCGGCCCUGGCAGCUGUGGCAGGAGGCGAGCAGAGACAGCAGCCGAGCCUCUGAGUUACGACUCUAGGGGAGUCGCAAGGACUCAGACCUCCGGGGAAGGGGAAGGGCAGGAGAAGUGUGGUAUUCAUUCGCAGGGGGUCAGUUCCUUUCCGGAUCAAGAUCAGACUCUGCCCUCCGUGUUCACAGCGGACCUUGAUUUAAUGUCAUACAAUUAAGGCACGCGGUGAAUGCCAAGAGCGGAGCCUACGGCUGCACUUGAAGGACACCAGAGCAUCUCAGGAUAUGAAAGGGGAAACGACAAUUGCAAGGAGAUUUGAGGGGUAGUCGAACGAUCCCACCCCUUUCGGCAUAGAGGCCCUCAGACUAAUUCCAGAACCAACCUAGUGUUCCGUAAGCAGAAGGAUCACAGUUUUCAGUACGAGCUCGGAAAGCUGCAGGCAAAUCCCCAAGGGGGAUUUUACCGCGAGCUUCAGUGACAGCUGUCAGGACAGCAGUAGUUCCUGUUUGUGCAAAUAUUCUUGAGAGUUGAAGCGUUUAGAAAGCAGUGGUUCUUUCAAGAGCAGGUAGUGUGAUUGUUCGCAAUUCUGGGCCAAGUUGCGGUAACAAAACCAGAAAGAGAGAGAGAGAGAGAGAGAGAGAGAGAGAGAGAGAGAGAGAGAGAGAGAGAGAGAGAGGUUAAAUGGAGCCUUCACCGCCUUGUGCAAGAAACCUCAUAUGGUCCAGCUCCUUAGGGAAGCUCCGAACCACCACCACCACACUUUUCCCUUCUCUUCCCAGUUUCGAGUGGGCCUAGCCUGGCUUUAAAAAGCCUAGAUAAUAUUUUUGUUUCGGCACAGUCGCCAUGGCCAAAUCAGUCAAAAGAGUAGGACAAGGGCAAAAAGCUCAGGCCAGAAACUUGAGAAGAACUCGGUAAAUUAAUUUAUUUGGAAGCCAAUGAGGUGGACUUUGUUAAGGUCGUAGUUCCGCACCACGGCCUUGGAGCCGAAGACAAACCCAGGCUGAGAAAGCGAGCCUUGAUGGAUGUCUUUGUUCUGCCUUGGCCUGCAGGGGCUGCGAACAAAGGAGAAGAGCUAAGAGGAUUCACUAAAGUGGCCGCGCCCUCCGCGCCUGCCGCUGUCCGUGGUGCUGACCAUGGCCCUCUUCUCUGUAAUUUAACCAAAAUGCAAUAGGACCGUCCUGUCCCUACCCCAAAGCAUAACAGGAUAUUAGGCAAUUUGCGACAGAAAAAUUAAACGCAGGAAAAUGUAGCAUACAGCAAAACCUACUAUUUACCGAAAUAGUCGACUUUAGCUGUUGCCUCACUUGGCUUCUGCUUUUCCGGCUUCACGUAGUUAAUACAUAUACAGUUAGUGGAUGUAUAUUGGGGGGGGAAAAAUCAGAUGAUUUAGGAUGAAACCGGAAUCUAAGCAAUGGGCAGGACUUGCAAGAAGGAGAAUGAGAAUGAAGCCUCUACUUUUUUUUUCUUUCUUAAGUCAUCUACCUUAAAACUUAUGAACGUGAGGUCCUCACUUACACAGUUUGACAAUGCUGGUGUGUUCACCAAAGGGUCUCGCAACGGACUCAAGUGUGGGCCUCGAGACAUACCAGGAAGGGAUGGGAAGGGGACUGACUAGGUGAGACCAAACUGGAGUCCACCCAGCCUGCCGCCUGGGGCCAGGCUUGCGGCAGGGCAGUCUUCCCAGGCAGGGCCAGAGCGUGAGCACUGCAGACCGCUUUGGUGUGUGGACCUUGCUUCACGCUUCCUGGCCGGCGGGAGGCACUGCAGGGCCUGGAGGCCUGAAAACCGCACUGCGGAAAAACCGACCAUAGAAUCCUCCUUAUAGCUUCGGUAGGUGGAAAAAGGCAGAGUGGUUUACUAAAUUCCAGGCAAUGAAGAUUCCCGUUAAGAGUCUAUGGUCGUAUGGGUCAGUACUAAUAUAUUCAAUAAAUCUUUAAGUCUCUCAGCAUAUUUCAUCAUCCUAACCUAAAUAUUGACAGCAUUAUAUAUAAAUAAUAAAAAUUUAAAUGCCCUAACUAAAUAAUGAAUCAAAGAGGAGAGAGAGAGAGAAAGAGAGAAAACGAGAAACGAGAAACCAACCCAUCUGUAGCCAGCCUGGGCUCUCAAGAGGAAUUGUUACCUGUUCGCUUGCGUUUGUUUAUAAAUUCACAAAUGUAAACGAUGUUAAAGUUAGGAAUAUUGGACAAUGGAGGCAGCAAUGCUAAUUUUGAUCCAGAUAUAGAAAUACGCCAUAAAUGCGUCAUACAUUAAUCAGAUUUGUUCUUUCACACCUGAAUGAUGGAGAUAUAUGAAAUGAUUCAGAAAAUAAAGCUACCAAGCACAAUGUCCUCAGCCAGAUAUAUCUUCGCCCCAUCCCUUAGGGUAGAUUUUAUUUGUCCUCCUGUUUUAAAACUCUGCGAGUUUGGUUUUUCAUAUCCAUUGAUAACUUAGGUUUGUAUUUCAUUUUGUACAAUUUGGGAUGGAGUAGGUAAAACACGCUAGAAAAAAAGGGGGCUACUCGAAUGAUAAAAGGAAAGGGUUUGGGAAUAAUCUUCUUGUGACCGUUAAAGGCAGUUACUGGACAUUGAAAUGGGUUUAAAGCAUUACACAUCAGCGUGGAAGCUUUGAUUUCUUUCUGGUCUUUAUGCAACUGUGCUGAUCUCCUGCAUACACAUCCCGUGGGCUAGUUCAUGAAGGAACAAGGGUCCAAGGUUAUAUGUUCUUGGGUUGUGUUAUAAUUCAUAUUACGUAAUAGAAACUCACAUAACCUCCCUCACCCUAAUCCUUCCUGUUUAGCACUGUCUAAACUUGCCCUCCGAAAAAGCUUAAUCAGUUUUUAAAAAAUUACUUUCUAAAUAGAAAUAAAAUACAUGCUUGUGAAAGAGAAAAGGUUUUUUAAAAUACCACUUAGAGAAGGGACACACAAUUUAGUAAUCUGCUUGCCGUGAUUAAACCUAGAGUGGUUAUUGAUCCGCAAUAUUUCUAGAUUUUUAAACACUAUUUUCUAUUUCUCCUAAAAAUCAUCGUCUGCUUUAACGUCCAUUGCCAAUUUCCCUGCUAUGAAAUUCUAUGCUCAGCAUUUUUGCAAUAAAUCAAUCAAGGCUUCGUAAUUGGAGAAUUUCGGGGCUGCGUGCCGCGGGGGCCAUUUGACAAUCACAACUUUCAUUUAGUAGUCUGAAAUUAAAGCUUCUCGGAAUAACUUAGGAACAGCUUGACACUUUCAGAUACUCAACGACAACCCUCCGGGGAAAUAGAAUGUUUCCUUCCUGGGAACACGAUGCUCGCGCAGUGCCCCAGGAGGUAUCCGGUGUCAACAAUGCCAGGGCGCCCUCUGCUGCCGGCAAGAAGCAGAACAUCAGUUUCAAAAGCCAGAUGGCCCUCGGUCAAAAUCAGCGGUGAAAACAUUAAGCUUUUAGAAACAUUUAAUCUGUGAAAUAUAAAAGCUCUCAUCAUAUUGUACUUUUGAAGGGGCCACCCAAUUUUUAUUUUGAGCACUCCUUGGAUAAGUUUCUCCUAUUGUGAAGGGUAGUGAAAAGUCAAUGUUUUUUAGUUUUCCGUCUGUCAAAUUAUUUCUUUGGUUAUACAUUUUUGCACCCUUUCUCAAAUUUUACAUGGAAAUAUGAAAUUGCAAACCAGAGUGAAAAACCUUAGUUUUGAAUAGAUGAAUAUUUCCUAAUUUCUCCAGAUAACUCAGAUCUAAAAAAGAAAACAAUUAAAGAUAACCACAAGUUGUUUAACUUUUUUUAAAGAUAAUUUUUUAAAAAAUUAAGGACCGAGGUGAAGAAUUGUUUUCUUGUUUUUACAGUUAACCCAGAUUUUUCUCAGGCUUUAAGUUUGGGAAUAAGGAAGUGAGUUACGUUUGAGGAAGAAGUGGAAACUUUUGCUUUCUGCUAACAUGUAUGCCCUUUUUAACCUGAUAGCUUUGUAAUGAAUUUAUAUCCAUACUUAACUUGCAAAGACCUCUUUAGUAGAGAACCCACUCUUAGGAGAAGUGGUCAGAUAUGGUCUCAGCAUAGGCAAACUCAUAAGAAGUAUACUUACAUUAAAAACAAGUUUUUCAGUAUAAAACAAUCUCUUCACAAAUGAUAUGGAGAUUUUUUAAAAGGCUAAAAAUCCUUGUUAAUUUUUAUGUAUUAUAGGGUGUAUAUUGAAUAAAAAAUGUACAGUUGUAUUAAUUCAAUGUUUCAAAUUUCAAAAUUACAAACAGCUUUGCCAAGAAGACCAUUGUUGAAUGCUAAUGUAAUAAAAUACUUCUAUUAAUAAUGUGGUUGUUAAAUAAAUCUUAUAUAAAUAAAGUUCUGUUCAUAUUAUGUCAGGAUGUGUCAGGAUGAAAAAGCUAUCUAAUAUCACUCAUUUUAAUCUCAGUUUUUAAAUUAAAAUUCUUACAAGAAUAUUAAGCUAUAAGGUUGCCGAGAAUAUUAAGCUAAAAAUUAAAAAUUAUAUGAUUUUAUAAUUUGCUAUAGAAAAAAGCCUUGAUUAAAUAUUAACCGAAGUUAAACAUUUAGCCAAAUAUGUAAAAUCCCCUGUAACUAUAGGUACAUUUGUCUUCUGAAAUCUACUUCAAAGAAUUCAUUUGCAAAUUUAUGGCCUAAACAAGGUAAAGAAAAUUGUUAGAAUGUUUACAUUUUCAUUCUCAACAUUCUUUUAAAAACAUUGUUUUUCUUUUUGCUUAACUUCAAUUUCUUUCUAAAUCAAUUCAUAUUUUACCCAGGAGAGAACGAACACAGUGACGUAUUUUACUAUAUUCCUAAAAGUUAUUAUAAUAAGUUUAAAACCAACCUUUAAGUAAAUAAAAUGCAGUAUACAUAUUGAAACAUUUUUGUUUUCUAUUUUAAAAACCAUUUGCUCGAUUAAAACGAAAAAAAACAAACUGAAGAGAACCAACUAAAAGAGCUUCUCAGAUGCCCAAGAGAUGCAGCCCAACGGGAAAAGCAUGCACCAAUAUUUGCUGUUCAAAUUUGUAUGUAAGAGUUUUUAACCUCUCUGUGUUUUAUAUUUGCACGGGGGUAACAUAUUGUAACUGAAACACUCGUCCUAACUUCUGGCUAUUUAGAAUCCAUGGAAGCAUUCAGUUCUAUAAACAACAUAUUUAUGGGAAGCACUAAUACAGUGAUAAAAGCAACUAGUUACUGAUAGUUUUAUUUAAAAAUUAACCACAUAAUAAUUGUGUCCUCAUUUAUGUCCACUCUCAGAUGAAAUUAAGAUUGAAUUUAAUGUUUGUGGAUCACAAAAAUAAAAGCUCUUUAGAUUAGAAAGGACAGGUUUUAGCAGACUCUAAGGUAGUUUUUCAAUCCAGUUUCAGACUCAGCUAUCAGUGCAGUUUUCAUCAGCUGCUAUUAAGUAACUAGUACAAUAUAGAAAUAUGGCUGAGUAGGAAUUGAGCGUGUAAUGCUUUAAGAUGCAAUAAAAUUGGAUUGUCAAGAAACUGGAAUUAUUUUUUAGAAGAUUGAUAGUUGCGAAGUUUAGGGAAAAUGUUUCCAUUGAAGAACAAUAGCCAGUAAAGUAAAAACAAAGUCCAGUAUUGGAAGCAGACGAUACUACCAAGGCAAAAUAGGGUGAAAUAGGAAGAAUUAAGUAUGAGAUAUACGUAGAAAGAACUAAGAAGAUAUUGGACUUCAAUUUUGUUUUUAAUAUUCAGUAGAAGAUAUUUAUGUAGAAAAUUCUUAAGGAAUUACUAGAUAUUAUCUCAGAGUGUUUCUUCAUUGGAAUGCAUUGCAAUUUUGAUCUUGUCAUGUUAAAGAAGCACAUUAAAAAAGUAGAAAAUUAAAUUAGCAAAAUACUAUUUUAUUAUUCAACUCUUAUCCCAUGAAUUGAAAGGCAGAAUUGUGUUUUUUCCUUUCCCAGUAGUUGGCCAAACUUUUUUUUAAUUAUAAGGAAAGAAUUAAUUUGAACAUAAGAGUAUAUAUCGUAUAAAUAAUAUAAUUAUUAUGAUAUAGUAUAUUUUGGGCAAAAUAUCUUCUUCCUGAUACUUGUGGAGAUCCAAAAUAGGGAUGUGUGAAAAAGAAACUUGGUUUAACAAAAUUCUUCCUUACUGAUGAUGUCAGUAUUCUUAUGUAGUAGUCAUAAUAUAGUUAGAUAGACAGGAUACUUCAUUGGAACCCAAUCAUGAUGCUUCUUAGAAGUUCCCAGUAGGCAAUGCUGGUGUGAGGAGUGAGGCUGACCUACUAAAUACUAAGAACCUUGGCCAAGGUCAAUUUAAAGGGUAUACACUUCGGGCUGCUAGGAAAACAUUAAGUGGAGAAAGGUGUUCUCUGGACCAGAGCUGUGUAAUGUCAAUUUUCCAGAUUAGAGGAACUCCACCUUUCUCUGGAUGUCUUGGCCUGACUUCGUUCCCUCAGUUCCCAGAACUAGGCUAUAGUAGUUGUCCAUUUUAAUUGUCCUGACAAUAUUAGAUAAUCAAAUAGAGACAUCUGCAAGCACUCCAAGAAUACAUUCCUCAAUAAGUGAUUUUAACAACCUGGAUAUAUUUAAAAGGAAGGAUUCUUAUUCUUUGAAAGGGUUAUUUUAAUCUAAUUUUUCAAUCCAGAAAGCACAACUAUUUAUAAAUGCCCAGUAAGCAUUGGGCAGGUGUGUUAGUUGGAUGAGAGAAAGUGGUAGUGAGUGUGUAUCUACAUACAUGUGUAUGGAGAGAAAAGCUAGUAAUAAUGAAUAUCUAUAUUAGAGAUGAUGGUUAACAUUUAAAACAUGAUUGUGGAAAAAAUAAAAUCAACGCUAGCUGUGGCCUGAACCCACCUCUCCUGCAGUUAUUGUCUUACAAUCAGCUAGUCAACAUGGUAAAACCCCAUGGUACGAGAGAAUUAUGAAUAAAGAAACAUUAAAAAUUUGGCUGGUUCUUGCAGACUCCA